Molecule: ribosomal RNA, 486 nt
Filed under: uncultured bacterium
Lineage: Bacteria
Description: partial 16S ribosomal RNA
Rfam family: Bacterial small subunit ribosomal RNA
Source: RNAcentral
AUUGAACGCUGGCGGCAUGCCUUACACAUGCAAGUCGAACGGCAGCACGGGUGCUUGCCCCUGGUUGCGAGUGGCGCACGGGUGAGUAAUACAUCGGAACAUCUGCUGGUGGGGGGUAUAGCCCGGCGAAAGCCGGUUUAAUAGCGCAUACGAUCUGCGGAUGAAAGGGGGGGAUCGUCGGUCCUCCCACCAGAUGGUUGUCCGACGGCUGAUUAGCUAGUUGGUGGGGUAAAGGCCUACCAAGGCGACGAUCAGUAGCUGGUCUGAGAGGACGAGCAGCCACACUGGGACUGAGACACGGCCCAGACUCCUACGGGAGGCAGCAGUGGGGAAUUUUGGACAAUGGGCGAAAGCCUGAUCCAGCCAUGCCGCGUGUGUGAAGAAGGCCUUCGGGUUGUAAAGCACUUUUGUUCGGAAAGAAAUCCUUGGCCCUAAUACGGUCGUGGGAUGACGGUACCGGAAGAAUAAGCACCGGCUAACUACGUG